RNAcentral lists this ribosomal RNA (803 nucleotides) under uncultured bacterium. Its description in RNAcentral is "bacterial SSU rRNA". It matches the Rfam family "Bacterial small subunit ribosomal RNA", at positions 8 to 796 of the family's 1533-position model. The record is from RNAcentral.
AGAGUUUGAUCAUGGCUCAGAACGAACGCUGGCGGCGUGGAUAAGACAUGCAAGUCGAGCGCUGAUUUUCCUGGUAGCAAUAUUAGGAGAGUCGGAGCGGCGCAAGGGUGCGUAACACGUGGAUCAUCUGCCUGGAAGUUCGGAAUAAUCCCGAGAAAUCGGGACUAAUGCCGGAUGUGGUUGCAAGACUAAAGCUGGGGACCCGCAAGGGCCUGGCGCUUCCAGAUGAGUCCGCGGCCUAUCAGCUAGUUGGCGGGGUAACGGCCCACCAAGGCUAAGACGGGUAGCUGGUCUGAGAGGACGACCAGCCACACUGGAACUGAGACACGGUCCAGACACCUACGGGUGGCAGCAGUCGAGAAUUUUUCUCAAUGGGCGAAAGCCUGAAGGAGCGACGCCGCGUGGGGGAUGAAGGGCUUCGGUCCGUAAACCCCUGUCAUUUGCGAACAAACCUUUACUUUGAACAUUGGUAAAGCUGAUUGUAGCGAAAGAGGAAGGGACGGCUAACUCUGUGCCAGCAGCCGCGGUAAUACAGAGGUCCCAAGCGUUGUUCGGAUUCACUGGGCGUAAAGGGUGCGCAGGUGGGUUGGCAAGUUUGACGUGAAAGCCCCGGGCUUAACCCGGGAAUGGCGUUGAAAACUGCUGAUCUGGAGGAUCGGAGGGGGGACUGGAAUUCUUGGUGUAGCAGUGAAAUGCGUAGAUAUCAAGAGGAACACCAGUGGCGAAGGCGAGUCCCUGGACGAUACCUGACACUGAGGCACGAAAGCCAAGGGAGCAAACAGGAUUAGAUACCCUAGUAGUCC